AAAGCCAGGGGUGCCCGCAAGGGAGCCUUUACACAGGUGCUGCAUGGCUGUCGUCAGCUCGUGUCGUGAGAUGUCGGGUUAAGUCCCUUAACGAGCGAAACCCUUGUCCUUAGUUGCCAGCGGGUCAUGCCGGGGACUCUAAGGAGACUGCCGGUGUUAAACCGGAGGAAGGCGGGGAUGACGUCAAGUCCUCAUGGCCUUUAUGAUCAGGGCUG
RNAcentral lists this ribosomal RNA (215 nucleotides) under uncultured bacterium. RNAcentral's name for it is "partial 16S ribosomal RNA". It matches the Rfam family "Bacterial small subunit ribosomal RNA", at positions 1004 to 1216 of the family's 1533-position model. The record is from RNAcentral.